AGAGUUUGAUCCUGGCUCAGGACGAACGCUGGCGGCGUGCUUAACACAUGCAAGUCGAACGGGGUCCAGUCUGUAGCAAUACAGAGGAAGACCUAGUGGCGAACGGGUGAGGAACACGUGAGAAAUCUGUCCCGAACUCUGGGAUAACAGUUGGAAACGACUGCUAAUACCGGAUGCCGUCAUUGGAUCGCAUGAUUCGAUGACGAAAGAAUUUCGGUUCGGGAGGAUCUCGCGGCCUAUCAGCUUGUUGGUGGGGUAAUGGCCUACCAAGGCAUCGACGGGUAGCUGGUCUGAGAGGAUGAUCAGCCACACUGGGACUGAGACACGGCCCAGACUCCUACGGGAGGCAGCAGUGGGGAAUCUUGCGCAAUGGGCGAAAGCCUGACGCAGCAACGCCGCGUGCGGGAAGAAGGCCUUCGGGUCGUAAACCGCUUUCAGCAGGAACGAAAAUGACGGUACCUGCAGAAGAAGGUGCGGCCAACUACGUGCCAGCAGCCGCGGUGACACGUAGGCACCAAGCGUUGUCCGGAUUCAUUGGGCGUAAAGAGCUCGUAGGCGGUUCAGCAAGUCGGGUGUGAAAACUCUGGGCUUAACCCAGAGCCUGCAUCCGAAACUGCUGUGACUUGAGUUCGGUAGGGGAGCGGGGAAUUCCUGGUGUAGCGGUGAAAUGCGUAGAUAUCAGGAGGAACACCGGUGGCGAAGGCGCCGCUCUGGGCCGACACUGACGCUGAGGAGCGAAAGCAUGGGUAGCAAACAGGAUUAGAUACCCUGGUAGUCCAUGCCGUAAACGUUGGGCACUAGGUGUGGGUUUCAACUAACGAGAUCCGCGCCGUCGCUAACGCAUUAAGUGCCCCGCCUGGGGAGUACGGUCGCAAGACUAAAACUCAAAGGAAUUGACGGGGGCCCGC
This 908-nucleotide ribosomal RNA is filed under the name uncultured bacterium. Its description in RNAcentral is "bacterial SSU rRNA". It matches the Rfam family "Bacterial small subunit ribosomal RNA", at positions 8 to 924 of the family's 1533-position model. The record is from RNAcentral.